GACGAACGCUGGCGGCGUGCUUAACACAUGCAAGUCGAGCGGAAAGGCCCUUCGGGGUCCUCGAGCGGCGAACGGGUGAGUAACACGUGAGUAACCUGCCCCAGACUUUGGGAUAACCUUCGGAAACGGGGGCUAAUACCGGAUACGACACAGCUUCGCAUGGGGUCUGUGUGGAAAGUUUUUCGGUUUGGGAUGGGCUCGCGGCCUAUCAGCUUGUUGGUGGGGUGAUGGCCUACCAAGGCGACGACGGGUAGCCGGCCUGAGAGGGCGACCGGCCACACUGGGACUGAGACACGGCCCAGACUCCUACGGGAGGCAGCAGUGGGGAAUAUUGCACAAUGGGCGGAAGCCUGAUGCAGCGACGCCGCGUGAGGGAUGACGGCCUUCGGGUUGUAAACCUCUUUCAGCAGGGACGAAGCGUAAGUGACGGUACCUGCAGAAGAAGCGCCGGCCAACUACGUG
RNAcentral lists this ribosomal RNA (462 nucleotides) under uncultured bacterium. RNAcentral's name for it is "partial 16S ribosomal RNA". It matches the Rfam family "Bacterial small subunit ribosomal RNA", at positions 28 to 507 of the family's 1533-position model. The record is from RNAcentral.